GCGGGUGUGGCGGAACUGGCAGACGCACUAGACUUAGGAUCUAGCGCCUUACGGCGUGGGGGUUCGACUCCCUUCACCCGCA
Molecule: transfer RNA, 82 nt
Filed under: Staphylococcus aureus
Lineage: Bacteria; Bacillati; Bacillota; Bacilli; Caryophanales; Staphylococcaceae
Also listed under: 1 other name
Description: tRNA-Leu
Rfam family: tRNA
About the family: Transfer RNA (tRNA) molecules are approximately 80 nucleotides in length. Their secondary structure includes four short double-helical elements and three loops (D, anti-codon, and T loops).
Source: RNAcentral